RNAcentral lists this ribosomal RNA (253 nucleotides) under uncultured bacterium. RNAcentral describes it as "partial 16S ribosomal RNA". It matches the Rfam family "Bacterial small subunit ribosomal RNA", at positions 524 to 776 of the family's 1533-position model. The record is from RNAcentral.
UACAGAGGUCCCAAGCGUUGUUCGGAUUUAUUGGGCGUAAAGGGUGCGUAGGCGGCGGAGUAAGUUGGGUGUGAAAUCCCGGGGCUUAACCUCGGAAUUGCAUUCAAUACUGCUUCGCUCGAGUACUGGAGAGGAGGCUGGAAUUUACGGUGUAGCAGUGAAAUGCGUAGAUAUCGUAAGGAAGGCCGGUGGCGAAAGCGAGCCUCUGGACAGUUCCUGACACUGAGACACGAAGGCCAGGGGAGCAAACGGG